Molecule: ribosomal RNA, 314 nt
Filed under: uncultured Plesiocystis sp.
Lineage: Bacteria; Pseudomonadati; Myxococcota; Nannocystales; Nannocystaceae
Description: bacterial SSU rRNA
Rfam family: Bacterial small subunit ribosomal RNA
Source: RNAcentral
AGCGAACGUUUGCGGCGGGCCUAAGACAUGCAAGUCGAACGAGAAGCUACCCGUUCGGGGUAGUGGAAAGUGGCGCACGGGUGCGUAACACGUGGGUAAUCAACCCUUUAGACUGGGACAACCCGGGGAAACUCGGGCUAAUACCGGAUGUGGUGUCGGGAACUUCGGUUCCUGCCAUGAAAGCUCCGCAAGGGGCGCUAGAGGACGAGCUCGCGGCCCAUCAGCUUGUUGGUGAGGUAAUGGCUCACCAAGGCUAAGACGGGUAGCUGGUCUGAGAGGAUGAUCAGCCACACUGGAACUGAGACACGGUCCAG